This 415-nucleotide ribosomal RNA is filed under the name uncultured microorganism. RNAcentral's name for it is "bacterial SSU rRNA". It matches the Rfam family "Archaeal small subunit ribosomal RNA", at positions 330 to 747 of the family's 1478-position model. The record is from RNAcentral.
GCGCAGCAGUCGCGAAACCUUCGCAAUGCGGGAAACCGCGACGAGGGGACUCCCAGUGCCUACGCUCAGCGUAGGCUGUUCCCGAGCCUAGAAAGCUCGGGGAGUAAGGGCUGGGUAAGACGGGUGCCAGCCGCCGCGGUAAUACCCGCAGCCCGAGUGGUGGCCACUAUUAUUGGGCCUAAAGCGUCCGUAGCCGGCCCGGUAAAUGCCUGGGUAAAUCGUGAGGCCUAACCUCACGAAUUCCGGGUAGACUGCCGGGCUAGGGACCGGAGGAGGGAGAGGGUACUCCAGGGGUAGGGGUGAAAUCCUGUAAUCCCUGGAGGACCACCGGUGGCGAAGGCGCUCUCCUAGGACGGGUCCGACGGUGAGGGACGAAAGCCAGGGGAGCGAACCGGAUUAGAUACCCCCGUAGUCC